GCUCCCUGCGAAUAAAGCCGGGGCCCGCCCCUACCGCCUACCGGAGGGUUCGCAUUCUCCCGCCUUCGCUCCGCCGCCCGGGCGAUUGGUCUGCCGGCUCCGGGCUAGGGGGGGAGGGUGUGGGGGGCGGCCAAACGGCAGGCCGCGCCCCGCCCCCCUUAAAGGGGAAGCCCGGGGAGCCAGUCUCUGCGCCUCGCGUCUGAAUGGGACCCGGGAGGGGAGGCGGCUCGGUCCUUCGUGCCGUCCUCCCCGCUGGGAGGGGCAGCUCCAGCUCCGCUCGGCUCGCUCCGCCCGGCCACACCGGCUUUUUCCCCAUCAGGCGGUCCGAGUGCGGCUCCUCGCUAGCCUGCAAAGGAGCAGCAGGCGGUUCCUUUUCGGACGACCUGGAGCGAGGCCUGCGGGACUGCGCGCCCCGGCGGGCGGCGGGCGGCUCCCGGCAUGCGCGGCGGCUGCGUUCCCGCCGCCUCCGAGCUCGCCUGGGGCUGCCGCCCGCCUCCUGCCGGGCCCUCGGGCUCGCCCGGCACCGCGGGGCUUGAUCAGGGAGGUAGGCGGUGCUCCCUCCGGCCCCCGGCGUCGUGUGCCCUGCGGGUUUCGUGGCCCUCCCCCUACGCUGGAAUCUUCUGUGUCAUUUAGGGGGAGGGGAUGCGGGACGGCAUCUGUUUGACAACGCAUUGGUCCCACAGACAGCCUUUAAAAACAACUGCUUUUGGGGGGUGUCAGAACAUUUAAGCACAGGACGUCGGUGAGGCUUCCUGGCGGAGUGGGGCACACGCCAGCUUUACGGGACUUUUUGCUCAGUCCUGCCCCAGGACUGCAAUCGGAGGGGACCUGGGGCAUGGAGGAGACGCGAGUGAAAACCUAGUCAGCGGGCGGGCCCUCGGCCCCAUAAUCUACGUGAUCUCCUAGUGGGGUUUAAUUUCGGUGUAGUGUAAAUGAGAUGUCAGGCAGAGGAGCUGAUUUUAAUUACAGAUGGACAUUUUUGAAAGAAAUGGGUGCAAAUAGAAUGAACGCAUGGAUAAUUUUAAUGGAAUGCCUAUGUAAACAAGCCCAAUUAAAUGAUAUCUUCAGGGAAAAGACUUCGAAAAAGUGCCUGAAGUGACAGAACACAUGUUUUCUUCUGGUAUCUGGCUAAAGAAUGAAAUCUGGCAGAAAUAUUUAAUGAAGAGGAAUCUGAACAUAGCAGUUGAGAAAGAAAGAUUGGGAGAAGACUCCAGAUGUCGUAAAGCAAAGAGAGGAUGAAGCACAGGAAGCAGCUCUUAUUAUUUCUGUUGCACUUUGGCUCAGAGAACUCCAAGCAAUUGAUUCUAUCCUAAGGACAUAUUUUUUCAAUUUGAGAUAUAAUUAAUUUGUUUUCCAGUAAAAUAGAUAUUAGUAGAUCUAUGACAUACAGGAAACAAUCGAAAAUAGAGAUAAGUGGUAAUAAUACCUCAUUACUUAAGACAUCUUUUUCAGAAAAUUAUUCUUCAGUGUGUGGUGCAUUGGCUUUCUAGGAAAGAAUGGGAGGGAGAACCCUGCUGACAUGAAUAAUGGCCUGGGGGAGAGGGGGAGAGAAGCAAGAGAAAGGAGCAGUUAAGAGGAAAAUGAUGUCAUCUGGAAAGAAGGAAAUAGAUCAGGGCGUCUUUAAGAGCUAAUAUCAAUUGGGUUUAGUGUCUGUAUUUAGAGGAUGGGAGAGAAGAGGUAUCAUCUAGGGUUUUGGCUUGGGCCACAGGUAGAUCUUGUUAAGGCUGUACGAAAUAGAAAAUCCAGGAGGUAACGCAGGUGUGUGGGGGAAAUGAUACAAAUGUAAAUCAUACAAGGAUAUGAACCCUGUAGAUUUUACAACUUUGAGCUCUAUCCUUCUUAGGCCUCCUCUUCUAAGCAGCAUAAACUACUGCUGCCUACAUGUUGCCUGUUCAUAAAGGCUGAGGCAGGGGAGUCGCUUGAACUCGGGAGGCGGAGGUUGCAGUGAGCCGAGAUCAUGCCAUUUCCCUCCAGCCUGGCGACAGAGCAAGACUCCAUCUCAAAAAAAAGAAAAGAGAAGAAAAAAACAAAGAACUUUAUGCACCUUCUGGAAUAACAAAAUGCAAAUGUAAUGUUAUCUACCAGGAUAGAAAUUGGAGGCUAGAAUAUGUUGGGUAGGGUAGAGAGACUAGAGGGAAUGAUUUAGCAAUAAAAUAGGUUUAAAUAUCUUCUCACGUGCCCAGACUUAAUUAGCUUUGUAUUAUUCCUAUUAGUAAGCCAAGAAUUAGUACUAGGUGAUAAGCAAGGAUGCGCAGGGCCUUGUGAGGAAAAGAGUUACUGUAGCAGUUCUGGAUGCUUACCCCUUGCAUGUCUCCAGGGGAACCAUCUUUGACCUUGGCCAACCCCUGGAUUGCAAUCCUUGGAGUGUUCUUUAUGUUAGUGAUGAUGAUUUUGUUGUA
This is a long non-coding RNA of Pan troglodytes (chimpanzee), 2399 nucleotides long. RefSeq lists it as uncharacterized. The record is from RefSeq and is a predicted model, not a curated record. The transcript has 3 exons. Lineage: Eukaryota; Metazoa; Chordata; Mammalia; Primates; Hominidae.